Non-coding RNA from Lacerta agilis (Sand lizard), 479 nucleotides. The record is from the annotation of a RefSeq genome assembly. NCBI's taxonomy places the organism in Eukaryota, Metazoa, Chordata, Lepidosauria, Squamata, Lacertidae.
GAGCAUCAAGGAUGUCGCUGUGCCUGGAAAUGGCUCAGUGGGGCAAAUGUCUGCUGAAAUGCUCCUUUAUUCCAGUAAACUCCCAUCUCCUCCUCCUCACAUUGCUGUUCUCAUCAGGUAGCGCCAUUCAGCAGACUUCAGAUACGAUUGUCAGGGGAAAUGAGGAGGUUCUGCUGAGUUGUUUCCAACAGAAAACCGCUUUUAGCUACAUGUACUGGUAUAAGCAAGAAAGGAAGAAGGGUUCGCAGCUCCAGCUGGUGGCUUUUUCGGCAGAAGGUUCCAGAGGAAGGGAUACCAUUCAGAAAGAAUUUGAAGGCCGCUUUGAGAGCCGUGGAAUGAAUGGGUAUGUCUUCAAUCUGACCUUGAAAGACUCAGAGCCGAGCGACACAGGCACCUACUUCUGCGCCAAGCAAGAUUACACAGUGAACCAACUGCACAGGAAACCAGACACAAACCCCUUCAACGGGGAAUAUACAUGA